AAUCUGAUUCUUAAGGGUAAAUAUCAGUGGUAAUUCUGGGGAUUUUUCAGAAAAUUGAAAAUAUAAAUUUUUAAUACCCAGAGUUUCAUCUGGUAUACACUCUUUUGAAUUC
Molecule: microRNA precursor, 112 nt
Filed under: Megaselia scalaris
Lineage: Eukaryota; Metazoa; Arthropoda; Insecta; Diptera; Phoridae
Description: mir-283 microRNA precursor family
Rfam family: mir-283 microRNA precursor family
Source: Rfam by way of RNAcentral